GGGGCUGAGACUCAGUGGCAGAGCGUCCGCUUUGCAUGCGGAAGGCCCGGGGUUCGGGAAGGCCCGGGGUUCGAAUCCUCGCAGCUCCA
RNAcentral lists this transfer RNA (89 nucleotides) under Trichuris muris. Its description in RNAcentral is "snRNA TMUE_0100000387". It matches the Rfam family "tRNA". From Rfam's summary of the family: Transfer RNA (tRNA) molecules are approximately 80 nucleotides in length. Lineage: Eukaryota; Metazoa; Nematoda; Enoplea; Trichinellida; Trichuridae. The record is from RNAcentral.